UGUUCACAUUGUUGGAGCUUGGAGUUGAGGGCAUUGACUGGCAGAUGAAUGCUCAAAUGUAGGUAGUAUGCUACCCAAGGGACAAGUUUUUCACCAACACCACAAAGGUCUCUGGCUUGAGUGGGGUUGGAUGGUAGUCCUUGCUACGAGU
Tupaia belangeri (northern tree shrew) is the source of this 151-nucleotide small nucleolar RNA. Lineage: Eukaryota; Metazoa; Chordata; Mammalia; Scandentia; Tupaiidae. The record is from Ensembl.